CACACCUACCCCACCACCCAUGGCGGGUCUAAUUUUUGUCUCCACCCUCGCCAUACCACCCGUGGAACCUGUACCCAUCAUUGCCCAAUUGGGUGCGAAGUGGGGCGGGACCCCUUGAAACCCGCCCCACUGACGUCCCUACUUACAUGUAUCAGUCUCCAUCAACCGAGGCAUCCCUUCUUUAAACUAUACAUAGCUCUUUGCGGAGGCUAGGGGAUAAAACCCUAAUAUGAGGAAAAUACUUCCGAUUGUUGACGAUUCAGAUCAAC
RNAcentral lists this long non-coding RNA (269 nucleotides) under Gossypium barbadense (sea-island cotton). Its description in RNAcentral is "long non-coding RNA (GBAR_LNC012610)". Lineage: Eukaryota; Viridiplantae; Streptophyta; Magnoliopsida; Malvales; Malvaceae. The record is from RNAcentral.